RNAcentral lists this ribosomal RNA (429 nucleotides) under Acidobacteriota bacterium. RNAcentral describes it as "Acidobacteria bacterium partial 16S ribosomal RNA". It matches the Rfam family "Bacterial small subunit ribosomal RNA", at positions 355 to 776 of the family's 1533-position model. Lineage: Bacteria; Pseudomonadati; Acidobacteriota. The record is from RNAcentral.
UGGGGAAUUUUGGACAAUGGGGGAAACCCUGAUCCAGCCAUCCCGCGUGUGCGAUGAAGGCCUUCGGGUUGUAAAGCACUUUUGGCAGGAAAGAAACGUCAUGGGUUAAUACCCCGUGAAACUGACGGUACCUGCAGAAUAAGCACCGGCUAACUACGUGCCAGCAGCCGCGGUAAUCCGUAGGGUGCAAGCGUUAAUCGGAAUUACUGGGCGUAAAGCGUGCGCAGGCGGUUCGGAAAGGAAGAUGUGAAAUCCCAGAGCUCAACUUUGGGGCUGCAUUUUUGGCUACCGGGCUAGGGUGUGUCAGAGGGAGGUGGGAUUCCGCGUGUAGCAGUGAAAUGCGUAGAUAUGCGGAGGAACAGCGAUGGCGAAGGCAGCCUGCUGGGAUAACACUGACGCUCAUGCACGAAAACGUGGGGAGCAAACAGG